RNAcentral lists this ribosomal RNA (465 nucleotides) under uncultured bacterium. RNAcentral's name for it is "bacterial SSU rRNA". It matches the Rfam family "Bacterial small subunit ribosomal RNA", at positions 338 to 795 of the family's 1533-position model. The record is from RNAcentral.
CCUACGGGGGGCAGCAGUCGAGAAUAAUUCACAAUGGGGGCAACCCUGAUGGUGCAACGCCGCGUGGAGGAUGAAGGUCUUCGGAUUGUAAACUCCUGUCAUCUGGGAGUAAGGCAUGGUUGUGAAUAGCAAACAUGAUUGAUAGUACCAGAAGAGGAAGGGACGGCUAACUUCGUGCCAGCAGCCGCGGUAAUACGAAGGUCCCAAGCGUUAUUCGGAAUCACUGGGCGUAAAGGGAGCGUAGGCGGCGUGGUAAGUCAGAUGUGAAAUCCCGGGGCUCAACCCCGGAACUGCAUCCGAUACUGCCAUGCUAGAGGAUUGGAGAGGUAGCUGGAAUUCUUGGUGUAGCAGUGAAAUGCGUAGAGAUCAAGAGGAACACUCGUGGCGAAAGCGAGCUACUGGACAAUUCCUGACGCUGAGGCUCGAAGGCUAGGGUAGCGAAAGGGAUUAGAUACCCCAGUAGUC